Long non-coding RNA from Sorex araneus (European shrew), 4750 nucleotides. RefSeq lists it as uncharacterized. Lineage: Eukaryota; Metazoa; Chordata; Mammalia; Eulipotyphla; Soricidae. The transcript has 2 exons. The record is from RefSeq and is a predicted model, not a curated record.
UUCAAGGACUAGGGAAAGUUUCACAGAUGGAAUUUGGUGCUGUCCUGACUCUGCUGACCAGGAUUCAAUUCCCAGCUCCAUAAAUGGUCCCCCAAGCCCUGCCAGGGGUUCAGUUAUGCCUGAGCACAAAGCCAGAAGUCAGCUUUGAGCAUCACUGAGUGUGGUCCCAAAACAAAUGAACACAGUUCCAUCUGACACUAACAUUUUUUUUUGACAUUUUUCGGUCACAGGGGUUACUCCUGACUCUGCUCUCAGGAAUUGCUCCUGGUGGUGCUCGGGGGACCAUAUGGGGUGCUGGGAAUCAAAGCCGGGUCAGCCACAUGCAAUGCAAAUGCCUUACCAGCUGUGCUAUCACUCCAGCUCCUGACAGUAAUAUUUUUGAAUUACAGAUGGGUAAGACCUGCUUGCCUUCUCAGGCCCUUGCUCCACCAAAUAGCAACAAGAAAGCUAAGAGUAGUCUCUUGGGUGGGCUGCAGUGAUAGCACAGCGGUAGGGCGUUUGCCUUUCUCGUGGCAGACCGGUGUUUGAUUCCUCUGCCCUCUCGGAGAAGCCACAAGCUACCGAGAGUAUCGCUCCCACCUGGCAGAGCCUGGCAAGCUACCCAUGGCAUAUUAGAUAUGCCAAAAGCAGCAACAAAUAAGUCUCACAAUGAGAGACGUUACUGGUGCCUGCUCGAAAAUUGAUGAGAAACGGGACCCACAACUUGAAUCAACUCGAUUCCCCAGUUUCUGCCCUGCUCUCAGCUCCUACAUCAUCCCAGCCCCACAAACACAACUUCACAAUGGUCCAGUAUCAUGUGGGGUCGGGAUGGGGUGAGGAGGAAAGAAAUUGUUUUUUAAGGAUUCAGGGGGACUACCAAUCACAAAGAUUUUUAUGACUUGCCUCUUCCAGGGUAGUUUUCCACACAAAGUCAGUGCUCCUCAUUUUCCAGUUUCACUAGGUGGUGCUCUCUGUCUGCUACCCAAAUGUCCAGGAUGAACAAGAACCAGCUGCUUCCUAGAGGUCCUUGCCCCUAGGUCCUUAAAUUAGCUCUCUGGUCUCUAAUCCCGGGACUCAAUGGUAACAAGAUGACAUACAAUUUUCACACACUUUCCUCUAAGGAAACCGUUUUGCAUCAUGUUUAGUCAAUUAUUUAUAACAAGCAAUACAAAACAAAUUCUUUAACAUCUUUUUGGACAGAAUUGGGUCGUGGUAUGAAAACUCAAAAUAAAGGUAGUUGGAAAGGUGUAACGGAGGUGGAACUGGUGUUGAAAUAUUGAACGUAACCAAUUACUACGAACAACUCUUAGAACAAAAAAAGAAAGAAAAUUAGCCAUCUGGCCUCUUCAAGAAAGACUUGUGCUGAUUGGACUCCAUGGAGUUCUAAGGUGGGGAUUUAGCACCUCGCCCUGCACACUGUGGGCUGGGCCUGGCCACAGUAGCCCCGCCCCCAGCACGCCCCACCCCUCGGGCGCGCCCCCUUUGAAAAAGCGCAGGCGCAGUGCCGCCAUGAGCCUGGUCACUCAGGCACAGUGAAGCCGAGGAGGGCUGAGGUGGUACCUUUCACGGUUCCCAGCAAGAGUGACAAAACCCUGUUGGUGUGGGAGCUGAGCCUUGACCCCACGGUCAAAGCCUUGCAUGUGAGCCGGGUCCGGAGGGCAGGACGGGGUGUUCCGGGAAAGGCGACCCGCGAGCCCGACUUCCCGCCGUGGCCCCGCGCCCUGCACUGUGCCAAGGGAACCGUGGCUGUCAGCUCGCCGCGACACUUUCUGCUGCUGCACCUCGGGCCCGUGGCCGUGCGACUCUGCUGCACCCGGGGCUUGCAGAGUGCAGCGUGCUGGGGAUGUGGCCCCCCGCGCGGGGCCGGGGCGUGUGCGGGGAGGGUGGCCUCGCAUGCCAGACUGUGCGGUGGGUGACCGCGGCGGCCCCGCAUCGUUCUCUGUCUGCAGCCUUCUCCUGAUUCGCCUUCUGUGUGCGGUGCGCGUCUUCCCCAACGCUGUGGCCGCCCCGCCGGUUUUUACGCAGCGGUCAUUUUAUUCUGCGCGCGCUGCUCACUCAGCCCAAGGGGCCUGCGGCCGGCAGCCGCUCUUCCAGUUCUCUCCGCUGAAGCUCAUUCUCACUCCCCGUCCUUUCCUCCAUGCCUGCGCCUUCAUCAGACAUGAGAGCACCCCUCCGUGGUGACCAUAGACUCAGCUGUUCAGAUUAAUCAGAGACUAUGGAAAUAAUGCAGAAAAGUACCAUGGCUUGAAAAUAAUGAGUAUUAGUCUUUAGUAUGAACAUAAUGUCUAAACUGUUUAAGGAACAAAGAAAUAGGUCAGGAGUUAAUGUGCUGACCUUGCUUGCUGCUAACCCAGUUCUAUACCCAGCAACACAUAGAUUCCCCCAACCAACAUGUGGAGUAUACCCAGAGCACAGAGCUAGGAGUAACUGAUUACUGCUGAGUAUGGCUCUGAAACAAGAGCAACCACCAAAGUUUGCUUGAUUUGCUCUUCACAGCCACUUUAUGAAACUUGUAUUGAGAAGUCUUGGUCGGCUGAAUUAGAUCUCUGUGGCAAGUCAUUCCUAUCCUUGAGUAUGUCUCUUAUGUCUUUAGGUUCGUCUCAGCAGACAUAAACCACUUCAGCAUUGGACACUUGCCCUAAAAUGUUCCCAAUGCCAGGAACUGGCAAAAUGCUAUCUUGGUUUCAAUGGAUGGUCUGAAAGGAUUGUCAGCUUUGGAAGUGGAGAUAGAGUUCAAGUGCAAAGCCUGUGCCCGCCGUGUUCAAGGCCCUGGCUUUUGUCCUGAGUACUUCAUGACUCCACAGCACUGUGAGGUGUGACCCCAGCGGGCCCUGAGGACCGACAGACCUGGCAGAUGGGAGUUGUCUAAGUGAAAGUGUCUGAGCAUCGGUCACACCCCAGAGUCAGUAAAGAUCUCAGUGAAUUGACGUGUUGUCCAUAUUCUACAACACUUGUGUGCUCUGUUUGUGCAUGGUUGGUGUAGUUCAUGGAAAGUUUUGCUUACUGUUGAAGUCACAGGUUACUUCAACUAUUGGCAAGGAUUGCUGGAAUUUAGUUAUUACUUCUAAUUAAACAUUUUAAAAUCUACAUUGAUGGGAUUAUACGGCAGCUGGGGGCAGUUUCUGGGUAUGACUGCCUAGCGACUGGAAAAUGGAGAAUUUGGGUGGAAGAGGCCCAGUCCCGAACAUCCACACUAUAAAACCAAGCUCCCAGAAGCAUGCGGCCAUGAUGCGGCCACGGGACAUCUGAUAGGCUAGUUCUCCCUCUUGUAGAACCUGGCAUUCUAUGAGAGUUUACUGCCUGCAUGGGGGAGAGACCUUGUCAAGUUCCCUGUGGUGUAUUCAUAUGCCAAAUACAGUAACAAUGAUGGGUCUCAUUCCCCUGACCCUAAAGACCUCACCUCAAAUGCGGCACCACUGGGAAGGACGAGUAAAGAGAGGCUGCAAAAAUCUCAGGGCUAGGAUGAAUGGACGUUAUUGGGCCCGCUCAGGCAAAUCGAUGAUCAAUGGAGUGACAGUGACAGUGAAAAUCUACAUUGAGAUAUUCAGAAGGACCUUCAAUCUAAAAUCCUAACAGCUUCAGGAUCUUUCUGACCUUGAAGAAAGGGAAAACGAAGAUAUUGUGGCACCACUUCAGAAGCAAAGUGUGAAGUUCUGUGCUUUAGAGGUGGUAUUGUCAUCUUUUGAUUGCAAGAGCCCUGGAGUUGGCAUAGCCGAGACUUUGGAUAAACUGGAAGGUCUCUGUGGGGACUGGAAUAAGGGUAUGCGUAAGAACUCAUUCUCUAUCUCUCUCUUUCUCUCUCUCUCCUCUCUCUCUCUUUGUCUCCUCUCUCUCUUUCUCUAUCAUAUUUUCAGAUACAUCAGAAAUAGCCCUCUCCUUGCCAAACUGCUAAAGCCUUGGGCAGAUGUUUUUUAGCAAUACUUGUUUAAAUCUUAGGUAAUAGCCAACAGAACUGGAAUUUCUGGAGGGUUUGGGGGGUAUGCUCGGGACACCUGAAUGGUGCUCCUGGCUCAGUACUCAGAAAUCACUCCUGGCAGUGCUCAGUGGACUCUGUGGGAUACUGGGGAUCAAACCUGGAUUGGCUACAUGCAAGGCAAGUAUCCUACCUGCUGUGCUAUCACUCUGACAGAACCUUGAACUUCACAAUUUUAGAGCUGUCUUUCUACCAAGAAGCUUAGGGGUAUGGAGAUGGGAACAAUGUUUCUCCUAUUUGGGGUAAGAAUCUUCUUUGUUCCAAAGUAAUCUUCCAAAUAUGAAUCAUGUGUAAUCUUUCAUUAUCCCAGAAAAAUGUUCAUCUAGAUAAUGAAAUAAACUAAUAUAAAUGUUUUUACCCCCAGAAUCUAUGGCACGUAGGCUUAGGGUAUUCAGUCAAAGGCAGGGCUGUUAGUGAAAGAACUGGAACAGCCUCUGGUAGGUGAAUCUUAGGGAGAGACCAGCUCAUCUAUGCCACUACCAACCCUUUCUCAAGCUCCUGUUUUUUCUUUUAAUUUAAUUUUAUAGAGUAAUUCACAAUAUUUGAUUACAUUUAAUAUUCGAACACCAAUCCCACCACCAUUACACCUUCCUACCACCGUACUUUGGAUGUUUCCGUCCCGAACCCGAACCCCUGCCCCAAAGCAGAACUGAAAGAAUUUGUUUUGUAUUGUUUGUUCUGAAUCAACUGCUGAAAAUACUCCAAAAAAGUUUCCUUGGAGGAAAGUAUGUGAAUAUUUUUGUAUUUCCCCCAGGGACUAUUAAGCCUGUCAAUAAAGCUUACUGACAUGUUGUUAAA